GACAGAGGAUGCAAACGUUGUUCGGAAUUACUGGGCGUAAAGCGCGUGUAGGUGGCCGCGUAAGUCGGAUGUGAAAGCCCUCGGCUCAACUGGGGAAGCGCACCCGAAACUACGAGGCUGGAGUCUCGGAGAGGAUCGUGGAAUUCUCGGUGUAGAGGUGAAAUUCGUAGAUAUCGAGAGGAACACCGGUGGCGAAGGCGGCGAUCUGGACGGUGACUGACACUGAGACGCGAAAGCGUGGGGAG
RNAcentral lists this ribosomal RNA (245 nucleotides) under uncultured bacterium. RNAcentral's name for it is "partial 16S ribosomal RNA". It matches the Rfam family "Bacterial small subunit ribosomal RNA", at positions 524 to 768 of the family's 1533-position model. The record is from RNAcentral.